Molecule: small nucleolar RNA, 136 nt
Organism: Phyllostomus hastatus (greater spear-nosed bat)
Lineage: Eukaryota; Metazoa; Chordata; Mammalia; Chiroptera; Phyllostomidae
Source: RefSeq, a predicted model, not a curated record
AAGCACUGCUUUUGAACCUGAGGUGUCUUUUUUGUAGCUUCACCAGCCAAGCAACAGUGCUAGAGCAUAAGGACUUGUUAUAACUGGAGUUCUUCAGCUCUCAACUGAACUGCCUCUUUAAAAACAAUGCACUUUU